UACAGAGGCCUCGAGCGUUAGGCGGAAUUACUGGGCGUAAAGCGCGUGUAGGCUGUUCGGAAAGUCGGGUGUGAAAGCCCUGGGCUCAACCUAGGAAGUGCACUCGAAACUCCCGAACUGGAGUCCCGGAGAGGAAGGUGGAAUUCUCGGUGUAGAGGUGAAAUUCGUAGAUAUCGAGAGGAACAUCGGUGGCGAAGGCGGCCUUCUGGACGGUGACUGACGCUGAGACGCGAAAGCGUGGGGAGCAAACAGG
RNAcentral lists this ribosomal RNA (253 nucleotides) under uncultured bacterium. RNAcentral's name for it is "partial 16S ribosomal RNA". It matches the Rfam family "Bacterial small subunit ribosomal RNA", at positions 524 to 776 of the family's 1533-position model. The record is from RNAcentral.